This 482-nucleotide ribosomal RNA is filed under the name uncultured bacterium. Its description in RNAcentral is "partial 16S ribosomal RNA". It matches the Rfam family "Bacterial small subunit ribosomal RNA", at positions 30 to 507 of the family's 1533-position model. The record is from RNAcentral.
AUUGAACGCUGGCGGCAUGCUCUACACAUGCAAGUCGAACGGUAACAGGCCGCAAGGUGCUGACGAGUGGCGAACGGGUGCGUAAUGCAUCGGAACGUGCCCAGUCGUGGGGGAUAACUACUCGCAAGAGUAGCUAAUACCGCAUACGAUCUAUGGAUGAAAGCGGGGGACCGUAAGGCCUCGCGCGAUUGGAGCGGCCGAUGUCAGAUUAGGUAGUUGGUGGGGUAAAGGCUCACCAAGCCAACGAUCUGUAGCUGGUCUGAGAGGACGACCAGCCACACUGGGACUGAGACACGGCCCAGACUCCUACGGGAGGCAGCAGUGGGGAAUUUUGGACAAUGGGCGCAAGCCUGAUCCAGCAAUGCCGCGUGCAGGAAGAAGGCCUUCGGGUUGUAAACUGCUUUUGUACGGAACGAAACGGCUCUGGUUAAUACCCGGGGCUAAUGACGGUACCGUAAGAAUAAGCACCGGCUAACUACGUG